This 70-nucleotide transfer RNA is filed under the name Loxodonta africana (African savanna elephant). It matches the Rfam family "tRNA". Rfam says of the family: Transfer RNA (tRNA) molecules are approximately 80 nucleotides in length. Their secondary structure includes four short double-helical elements and three loops (D, anti-codon, and T loops). Lineage: Eukaryota; Metazoa; Chordata; Mammalia; Proboscidea; Elephantidae. The record is from Rfam by way of RNAcentral.
GCAUUGGUGGUUCAGUGGCAGAAUUCUUACCUUCCGUGUAGGAGAUGCAGAUGCGAUUCCUGACGAUGCA